UGAUAAAAAUUGAGACUUGGACCUAGAACAGAAAGAAAUCAAUUUAUGGACGAGUAUGUCCUUUUCACCUUUGUGGUAUCGAGAGUUUCCAGGUUAGCUUGGGUUGGAGGCCGUCAGAGAUAUUAUCACCCUAUCGAGUUAACGUUAUCGGAGUAAGUAAACUCAAGUGAUUCGAGUCUAUGGCAUGUAUAGGGUUUUAAUGUGAGUAUGUAAUAUUAUGAUUUAGCCAAAGGCAUUGGCUUGUUAUUACGGUAGUAUUAGUCAUGUAAAUUGGCCUAUGUCGGCUAAUGACGUUAUGGGCCCAUAUGAUUAUUCUUAUGCAUGUAUGUUAUUAUCUCUUGUGAUGUGGCUUACAACAUGUAUGCCUAGAGAUUGAAUUGAGAUUCAUUGAUGAGCUAGUAACUAAUGCAGGAUUAAGUGAUUGGUAAAUAGUUAAUAA
Gossypium arboreum is the source of this 439-nucleotide long non-coding RNA. RefSeq lists it as uncharacterized. The transcript has 2 exons. The record is from RefSeq and is a predicted model, not a curated record. NCBI's taxonomy places the organism in Eukaryota, Viridiplantae, Streptophyta, Magnoliopsida, Malvales, Malvaceae.